UGGCGGCAGGCCUAACACAUGCAAGUCGAGCGGUAGCACAGAGAGCUUGCUCUCGGGUGACGAGCGGCGGACGGGUGAGUAAUGUCUGGGAAACUGCCUGAUGGAGGGGGAUAACUACUGGAAACGGUAGCUAAUACCGCAUAACGUCGCAAGACCAAAGUGGGGGACCUUCGGGCCUCAUGCCAUCAGAUGUGCCCAGAUGGGAUUAGCUAGUAGGUGGGGUAACGGCUCACCUAGGCGACGAUCCCUAGCUGGUCUGAGAGGAUGACCAGCCACACUGGAACUGAGACACGGUCCAGACUCCUACGGGAGGCAGCAGUGGGGAAUAUUGCACAAUGGGCGCAAGCCUGAUGCAGCCAUGCCGCGUGUGUGAAGAAGGCCUUCGGGUUGUAAAGCACUUUCAGCGGGGAGGAAGGCGUUAAGGUUAAUAACCUUGGCGAUUGACGUUCCCCGCACAAGAAGCACCGGCUAACUCCGUCGCCAGCAGCCGCGGUAAUACGGAGGGUGCAAGCGUUAAUCGGAAUUACUGGGCGUAAAGCGCACGCAGGCGGCCUGUCAAGUCGGAUGUGAAAUCCCCGGGCUCAACCUGAGAACCGCAUUCGAAACUGGCAGGCUAGAGUCUUGUAGAGGGGGGGUAGAAUUCCAGGUGUAGCGGUGAAAAUGCGUAGAGAUCUGGAGGAAUACCGGUGGCGAAGGCGGCCCCCUGGACAAAGACUGACGCUCAGGUGCGAAAGCGUGGGGAGCAAACAGGAUUAGAUACCCUGGUAGUCCACGCCGUAAACGAUGUCGAUUUGGAGGUUGUGCCCUUGAGGCGUGGCUUCCGGAGCUAACGCGUUAAAUCGACCGCCUGGGGAGUACGGCCGCAAGGUUAAAACUCAAAUGAAUUGACGGGGGCCCGCACAAGCGGUGGAGCAUGUGGUUUAAUUCGAUGCAACGCGAAGAACCUUACCUGGUCUUGACAUCCACAGAACUUUCCAGAGAUGGAUUGGUGCCUUCGGGAACUGUGAGACAGGUGCUGCAUGGCUGCCGUCAGCUCGUGUUGUGAAAUGUUGGGUUAAGUCCCGCAACGAGCGCAACCCUUAUCCUUUGUUGCCAGCGGUCCGGCCGGGAACUCAAAGGAGACUGCCAGUGAUAAACUGGAGGAAGGUGGGGAUGACGUCAAGUCAUCAUGGCCCUUACGACCAGGGCUACACACGUGCUACAAUGGCAUAUACAAAGAGAAGCGACCUCGCGAGAGCAAGCGGACCUCAUAAAGUAUGUCGUAGUCCGGAUUGGAGUCUGCAACUCGACUCCAUGAAGUCGGAAUCGCUAGUAAUCGUAGAUCAGAAUGCUACGGUGAAUACGUUCCCGGGCCUUGUACACACCGCCCGUCACACCAUGGGAGUGGGUUGCAAAAGAAGUAGGUAGCUUAACCUUCGGGAGGGCGCUUACCACUUUGUGAUU
This 1443-nucleotide ribosomal RNA is filed under the name uncultured organism. Its description in RNAcentral is "16S ribosomal RNA". It matches the Rfam family "Bacterial small subunit ribosomal RNA". The record is from RNAcentral.